Helianthus annuus (common sunflower) is the source of this 784-nucleotide long non-coding RNA. RefSeq lists it as uncharacterized. NCBI's taxonomy places the organism in Eukaryota, Viridiplantae, Streptophyta, Magnoliopsida, Asterales, Asteraceae. The record is from RefSeq and is a predicted model, not a curated record. The transcript has 5 exons.
CACCUGCAUGUAACAAUUUCAAACAUAUUCGAUCAAGCAUUUCAGCAAAAAAAAUGAAGCAAAGUAUAACUGAACUCGAACUAGGCGACCAAAAGUGUUCUACCAAUGAAAAUCAACCUCCCUUAGCAACUUUAUCGGGCACUUCAGCAAAGGAGAUCAACGUCAACAAUUUGACUGAUGCGGAUCAGAAUCCGUUCAUAAAAAGUGGACCAGAAUGUUAUCAGUUUGGAUGAUGAGCAGCAGAAAACGUUGGUUCAUAAUGGACCUGCAUGUAAUCAGGAAAUGGGACUUGCUAAUUUGGAUGAUGAGCAGAAAACAAUAAAAAAACAUGGAGCAGCUUGUGAUGAGGAUUACACGUAUAUAAAGAUUCCUACAUUCUUCCUACGUUCUCUUUAAACCCAGGUAAAGCUUCUCUUUUUUAAUGUUUAUUUAUGUAGGGAUUGUGUAGAUAAAGCUUCUUCAAACUUUCAACAUCUUCACUACAAAGUCCACAAGAACUAGAGAAUUUUUAGGCAUAACCUUUUCUUAUUUAGGCAUACAAAUCUUAAUACUACAUGUUUUAGGCAUAAUAUGCGUAGACUGAAAGAAGUUAAACGCAUAAGGAUCAUAUACCUGCGUCAGCACGUCAUUUGUUUAACAAGCUGAAAUCCACUCCAAUAUAUUAUGCCAGCCCAGAUCCCAUUUAGCAGCCUGAGUGCCUCCCAUUUUGCCCAAAUAAAGAUACAUUUAGGAACCUGAAAAUUCCAACAAGUUCAUUAUAUCAAAAAGUGUUUAUGUAUAAAUA